UGUUUUGUCUUUGGAGUGGAAUUUUUAACUUUGUAACUUUUCUUUUCUAACCCUAAAUCCUAUUACACAUCAGUGAGAGGGUUGUUUGAUGCCGUCGCCACGUUUUAGAUGAAAAGAGGAAGCUGAUCAUAUGUGACAGUCUUCUGUUUUUAAAGAGAAAACUGCUGCUUGUUUUUCCAAAGUCUCGGGAAAUUACCGUUAAGAUAUUUCGUAGUUGAUUCUCUACAUUUUGUCAGUGUCAUAGUUUUCUGCUCCUUUUUUUAUUUUCAUGGAUCUACACCCUGAAUUUACACACUAAGUUCACACUGCUGCAUGAAGCCAGUCCGUCACCAAACUGUCUCUGAUGUGAUGGUAAUGCUGAACAGAUUUGGACCUGCAGGUCUGUUUCUGCACAUCAAACAUCACAUUCACUCCUUAUCCUCCAUCUCAUCACUCACUUCUGUUGCUGUUUGUUCUGCAGAGGAAAUCUAAUCAGCUGAUUGUUUAGCUGCAGAGCAGCUGGUGUUUAUAGACUGAAAAUAAACUUGUGAUUCUGUUUUCCUUCUGAACCCUUCAUCCAAUCAACUUGAUGCCACACUCUUGAUUGGGUCACUAUUUUGCUCAAUGGCAUUUUAGUAGGGAUCAGGCAACUGACUUUAACCCGGCAGACAUGAGUGUGUUGGCUCCUCCUCCUCCUGCACCUCCUCUGUGGUCCUGCAGACUUCAGCUUCAGUUUUACUGAGGAGCUCUGACCGAACACAUCAGACAAACUGACCAGAUCACUGUUGCUGUGAUGAUGGUGAGGAUUUUGAGGAUGAUGGGAAAUGUGUCGACUAUGACUCGUCCAAAAGAAAUCCUGAAGGAGAUGAAGAGGACAAUCUACAGUAAACCUCCUCGAAACAGAAUUGGAGCAGUGCAAAGCUUCUUCGUCAUGUCAGUGUUUGCAGUAGCCAUGUUGGCUCCUGCUGCCUGGAUCCUCGGUCACCUGCCAGAAUAUCGGCAGAGGGCCCAACAGAGUCCAAAGACCUGAUCCUCAUCAGAGUCCAAAGACGUGACCCUUAUCUUCAUCAUUGCCAUCAUCAACACUCCAGAGGCCUAGAAGCUACAUUUCUUUUUCCUUUUAUUCUUCACCUCAUAUUAAAACUGAGUCAAUAAAUUCAGUUUUCUUUUUGGAAAUCAGUCUAAGUGCUUUUAUAUUGAACAGAAUAUUUUAAAAAAUAAACUUUGUGUUCAAUGUCUUA
Molecule: long non-coding RNA, 1220 nt
Organism: Mugil cephalus (flathead mullet)
Lineage: Eukaryota; Metazoa; Chordata; Actinopteri; Mugiliformes; Mugilidae
Exons: 2
Source: RefSeq, a predicted model, not a curated record